This 203-nucleotide long non-coding RNA is filed under the name Mytilus galloprovincialis (Mediterranean mussel). The record is from RNAcentral. Lineage: Eukaryota; Metazoa; Mollusca; Bivalvia; Mytilida; Mytilidae.
AUUUGAUAUGAUACGCAUGAGUUGUAUUUUCUAAACCAAGGAAGAAAAUCUUAUUAAAUUGACAUAAUACGUAGGCGAUAUUUGUUUUGUGUACAAGAAAGGACGAUCAAAUUAACUAGAUAUAAUACGUAGCAGUUGAUAAUUGCUGAAUCAAGGACGAAGAUCUAUUUAACUUGAUAUAAUAUGUAGGAGAUAUUAUUUCC